GACGAACGCUGGCGGCGUGCUUAACACAUGCAAGUCGAACGGGCCUGUCUUCUUUUUUGGGGGGUGGGUUGAGUGGCGAACGGGUGAGUAUCACGUGAGUAACCUGCCCUUCGGUCCUGGAUAACCGCUUGAAAGGGCGGCUAAUACGGGGUGGUCCGGUUGGUCCGCAUGGGCUGGUCGGGAUAGAUUCACUGUUUUUGGUGUUUCGGCGGGGGAUGGGCUCGCGGCCUAUCAGCUUGUUGGUGGGGUGAUGGCCUACCAAGGCGGUGACGGGUAGCCGGACUGAGAGGGUGGGCGGCCACACUGGGACUGAGAUACGGCCCAGACUCCUGCGGGAGGCAGCAGUGGGGGGUAUUGCACAAUGGGCGGAAGCCUGAUGCAGCGACGUCGCGUGAGGGAUGGAGGCCUUCGGGUUGUGAACCUCUGUUUCCGGUGGUGAAGGCCCUGUCCGUGUGGUGGGGUUGACGGUAGCCGGGGAUGAAGCGCCGGCUAACUACGUG
RNAcentral lists this ribosomal RNA (500 nucleotides) under uncultured bacterium. Its description in RNAcentral is "partial 16S ribosomal RNA". It matches the Rfam family "Bacterial small subunit ribosomal RNA", at positions 28 to 507 of the family's 1533-position model. The record is from RNAcentral.